CUUUUUCCUUCUCUCUCACCUUGUCUUUUACAUCCUUAGGGAACCAGGAAAGAAAUCUCCUUCUCCCUCACCUUGUUUGCUAAAUCAGUAUCAAAAUCUCAAAGGUUAUAGUUUUAUUUUCUUUCUUCUCAUUCUCUCGUUCUCCUCUCCACAUGAAAUCCCAACUUUGUCAUAUCUCCUCAUCUUCAUCCUUCUAUUAAGAACCAGAAAGAAAACCAAUUUUCUUCUUGUAUUCAUCUCUCCAGAUCCAUUUGCUAAUUACCUUAACCAAUCGACCUUCAUGAACCUAAAAGCCACCACUACGAACCAGAAAGAAAAACUCAACCAUUAAAAUCCCUUCUUCUAAAACCCUUUCUUCGAAACCCUUACCUUCGAAAUAAACCCAUUUUCUAUUGUUCUUGAAUCAAUUUCAUGUUCGAAAGAAACCCAUUUUCAUUUUUCUUCACAAUUUCCUUUUCGUGCUUGUUAGGGGUUUUAUUUUCUACAAACUUUAUCAGGUAAAAGUUGGGAUUUUUCUCUAUUUUUCAUCAUUAGAGUCAGGGUUUGAUUUUGGUUGACAGGGUUUUAAUUAUCACUCAGUUUAUUGUAGCAAAUUGCUAGAAGAACAUUUAACAUCUUUGAAGAUUUCCAACCUUCAGAUCGUUGGUGGUGGUGGAGGUUGUGUGGACUGAACUGGUGUUGAUGACUGGAUGCUUGGAGAGGGAAUCAAUGAGUUCGAUAAAGCACUGGUGGUGAUGGUAACCAGCUCGCUGGUGGUGGUGUAGGUUGUAUGGACUGAACUGGUGGUGGUGAAGAGGUGUUUGGAGAGGGAGAGCAAUUUGCAGGUGCUGUUAAAAGGGUGAACAUGAACUUAUGGGAAAGGUCUUCUUUGGUAGUGUUGUUGGUGCAAAUUCAGGCCAAUCUCUUGCUUGACAAACACCAUUAGGUGCAGGGUUACAUAAUACUGUAAUCUGCACUACCACAAACAAAGUUUGGGCAUCAUGAAUGAAAGUAAUUUAGAAAUAUGCCUUAUAUGCUGCAAUCUGUGCUUCCGUAGAAAUGCUAAGUAUUUGGUGCUAUUCCUCGAAGAUUCACAGGGCAACCCGGAGCUGUGCAAUUCCAAAUGAAAAUUGUUAACAAUAAGGCAAGUAAAAGUAGCAGAUGUUGGUUUAACUGUAAGUGGUAUUAUGGUACAGCAUAUUUCCACAUAUUCGACUUAGGAUAUGCAAGGAUUCUCUUUGAGGAAUCUUUAGCAUUCAAUAACAGUGGAGUUGGAUUAUUGAUGAUCGUUAGAUUUGGGUUGUCAAAAGCAUCGAGUAAAGAUUCAGCGUAACUUCAUGAAAUGUCAGCUUAACGGUUUGGGUGUAUUUUCAGUUCAAUGGGGACAAAGGAUGUGGGUGAUGCAUAGACAUUGGCAAUCAUGGUAAUAUUUUUGGCUUUAAUAUUUAUGUCUGUAACGCUUUACAUUUGACAAGGUAGGCAUUCUUAUUCAAGUCUUGUUAACACUUUAAGUUUUAUAUUUUCUGAUCAGACUCCACCGUAUCCAUAUAUGACUCUUGUGAGAGAUACUAGAGGUUCAUUCAUUUCAAGGAGUGAUGCUCUUUUUUAGUCUAGAAAGUCAUCCUGAAAAUAUUAGAAUUAAUUAUCAUAUUAUGUCUUCAGCAACACCGAUACAGGAUGGUAUUCGAGUGACUCAAUAAUGUUCCUUGUUAUUGUAGCGAGUUCAAUUGAAAAGUUAUCUUUAAAAGCCUUUUUUUCAGACACCCUUGUUCAGAGACUUCUUAUAGAAAAUGAAAAGCAAGCUUAAAAGCCCUUUUUUCUUUAUAAUCCAUCUUUCCCGUUUUUAAGAAUUCCCUUAGUAGUCUUUAUAUUCGAUCUAGAGGUUUAUAUUGUGGUAUGUUAGUCUCCUGGGCUUGACAAAGUGAUGCAGCUCUCCACAGAGAAUGAUAUUGUCUAGAGUAGAGCCCUUAUAAUCAUAACAAGCUUGAACAUUUGCAUCUUUAAAGGGAUUCGAUCUUAAGCAGGGACCACAAUGAAGUGUUAAUCUAAUGUACCCCUGAGCAUGAUAAAUUGUAUAACAUCCUUCUAUGAACUAGUAAAACGAAACAAGAAAGAAGAUGUCGGAUGUUGUUGCAUCAUGUUGUGACUGGUGUCAAUGUUUUAGUAGUUCUGAAAUUCUAUUAGUUCGUCCAAUUUGGUUACGUUGGGUGCUAAUAUUUUAUAUCUGUAAUAGUUUUCUUUAUUCCGAUAAAGAUCGUUUUCAACUGCUAGCUACAAGCUUAGUACGGAUGGCAAUUAAAUUUAUUAAUCUUGUAUUAGUGUUGUGUGUUUAACCUUGGUGCAAUGUUGUUACUCCUGACACCAUCAACAAGCGAUCGAACACCUAUUAAGGUAUCUUUUUAGCCAAUUCAUAAAAUUUCAUUUAACAACCCAUUUAUCUACUUUAGCCAAAAAUUUACUAAUAAACCAACACGAAAUUAUCUAAGAGUAUCAAGUUCAUGUCCAUGUUUCGGCGCAAACAAAGUUCGAUCAUCUAAGAAUCCAUCUGCAUAUUUAUGUUUGAAAUAUAAUUUCAAUUUUUUUGUUUGUUUAUCCUUUUCUUGCAGCCUUCACAAUCAGUGCUUGCGGAAAUUUUUGUUUACUUUAGACGGAGACAGAGUUGAUGAAUUGAACGCGCUUUACUCUCCAAUCCUUGGUGCGCUGUUCGGAAGUGUGGGCUUAUUUGAUCAACGAGAAGCUUAUCGUUUUGCUGGUUUGCACUUGUCAUUAAGAAACCUUCAACUUAUUAGGACUUGUACCACUUAUCUUUCAGAAAAAUCUUGAACUUAUUAGGUACUGUAUUGGUGUCAAUUCAGUAUUAAAAUCUUGUUAUAUCAUUUUUGAACUGAAUUUAUGAAUCAAAUGAAUGUUCAAUGGAAUGGUAAUUUGAGUUUGUAAAUCCAA
Molecule: long non-coding RNA, 2922 nt
Organism: Papaver somniferum (opium poppy)
Lineage: Eukaryota; Viridiplantae; Streptophyta; Magnoliopsida; Ranunculales; Papaveraceae
Exons: 4
Source: RefSeq, a predicted model, not a curated record